RNAcentral lists this transfer RNA (100 nucleotides) under Brevundimonas sp. Bb-A. Its description in RNAcentral is "tRNA-Ala". Lineage: Bacteria; Pseudomonadati; Pseudomonadota; Alphaproteobacteria; Caulobacterales; Caulobacteraceae. The record is from RNAcentral.
CACGGCGGUGGCCUGGGACACGCCGACGCCGGCCUUCGCGCCGUCGGACGCAGGCGCCCUUCGCGCGGAAACGCGGGUUCCAGAUCCCGUCGUCAUGCCC